UACGUAGGGUGCAAGCGUUGUCCGGAAUUAUUGGGCGUAAAGGGCUCGUAGGCGGUUUGUCGCGUCGGGAGUGAAAACACCGGGCUUAACUCGGUGCUUGCUUUCGAUACGGGCAGACUAGAGGCAUGCAGGGGAGAACGGAAUUCCUGGUGUAGCGGUGAAAUGCGCAGAUAUCAGGAGGAACACCGGUGGCGAAGGCGCCACUCUGGGCCGAAACUGACGCUGAGGAGCGAAAGCGUGGGUAGCAAACAGG
Molecule: ribosomal RNA, 253 nt
Filed under: uncultured bacterium
Lineage: Bacteria
Description: partial 16S ribosomal RNA
Rfam family: Bacterial small subunit ribosomal RNA
Source: RNAcentral